This 478-nucleotide ribosomal RNA is filed under the name uncultured bacterium. RNAcentral's name for it is "partial 16S ribosomal RNA". It matches the Rfam family "Bacterial small subunit ribosomal RNA", at positions 28 to 523 of the family's 1533-position model. The record is from RNAcentral.
GACGAACGCUGGCGGCGUGCUUAACACAUGCAAGUCGAACGGUAAGGCCCUUCGGGGUACACGAGUGGCGAACGGGUGAGUAACACGUGGGUGAUCUGCCCUGCACUUCGGGAUAAGCCUGGGAAACUGGGUCUAAUACCGGAUAGGACUCCGGACUGCAUGGUCUGGGGUGGAAAGCUUUUGCGGUGUGGGAUGGGCCCGCGGCCUAUCAGCUUGUUGGUGGGGUGAUGGCCUACCAAGGCGACGACGGGUAGCCGGCCUGAGAGGGUGACCGGCCACACUGGGACUGAGAUACGGCCCAGACUCCUACGGGAGGCAGCAGUGGGGAAGAUUGCACAAUGGGCGCAAGCCUGAUGCAGCGACGCCGCGUGAGGGAUGACGGCCUUCGGGUUGUAAGCCUCUUUCAGCACAGACGAAGCGCAAGUGACGGUAUGUGCAGAAGAAGGACCGGCCAACUACGUGCCAGCCGCCGCCGUAA